This 773-nucleotide long non-coding RNA is filed under the name Gossypium barbadense (sea-island cotton). RNAcentral describes it as "long non-coding RNA (GBAR_LNC016582)". Lineage: Eukaryota; Viridiplantae; Streptophyta; Magnoliopsida; Malvales; Malvaceae. The record is from RNAcentral.
AAAAGGGAAAGAGUUUUACCUUCGUGUGGUCUGUCACGCCGUGAGAAGACCGAGGAAGCCACUCCUGAGGGUCGGUGGCCGAAAACUGAAGGGUUUCUUGAUUUUCUUAGUAUUUUCGGUUCGAUUUUGGGGAUUUGGAACCCGGAUUUUGAACCCAGAUUUGCGUUUAGAAGGUCGCAAGGACAAGAUUAGGGAUUUUCCCUCUUUUUCGGCUGCCGAAGACGGCGGUGUCGGUGCCGGAGAUCGGUGGUCGGCGCAGUGGCCGAUGACCGGCCGAUGGACGAAUUGGAUGCCGGACGAUUGGGGAGGGGAGAGUUUUUUUGAAAUGUUUUCUUUUGUUUUUUAAAGAAUGAAAAAUGAAAUAUUUGAAUUAUUUUUGGCUUAAAUAGCCUUUUGGAAAUGACGUCAUUUCAUUAGGCCUCCCCAGGUGCUAAAACGACGUCGUUUUGGGGAGGCCAACCCGAAUUCGACCCGACCCAGCCUAGGAUCAACGUGUUUUUAUGUAGAGGGGUAAAUUACGCUUUUAGCCCCUCUGCCUUUUAAGGUUUUUGCAAUUAAGUUUUUAUUUUUUUAAAUUUACCCCUUUAAUUUAUUUUCGAUUUCAAUUAGGUCCAAUUUGAACGGUGCCGUUUUGGAGGAGAAGGGAUAAUUUCCUUUCCAGCCCCUCUAUGUUAUUCGCGUGUUCAAUAUGGUCCAUUUUACCUCCAAUUAUUUGCGGAUUUUCCCCAGACUCCUAUUUCCAAUUCAAAUUAGUCCUUUUUGUUAUUUUUUAG